RNAcentral lists this ribosomal RNA (253 nucleotides) under uncultured bacterium. RNAcentral describes it as "partial 16S ribosomal RNA". It matches the Rfam family "Bacterial small subunit ribosomal RNA", at positions 524 to 776 of the family's 1533-position model. The record is from RNAcentral.
UACGUAGGGGGCGAGCGUUGUCCGGAUUUAUUGGGCGUAAAGGGCGCGUAGGCGGCUAGAUGUGUCAAAGGUGAAAUCCCUCGGCUCAACUGAGGAACUGCCUUUGAAACUGUCUGGCUUGAGGCCGGGAGAGGGUAGCGGAAUUCCCAGUGUAGCGGUGAAAUGCGUAGAUAUUGGGAGGAACACCAGUGGCGAAGGCGGCUACCUGGACCGGUUCUGACGCUGAGGCGCGAAAGCGUGGGUAGCAAACAGG